GUACACGCUGUGACUAGCAUAUCAAUAAGCGGAGGAAAAGAAACUAACAAGGAUUCCCUCAGUAACGGCGAGUGAAGCGGGAAGAGCUCAAAUUUGAAAUCUUGAAAGGUCACCUUUCACGAAUUGUAGUUUAAAGAAGUGUUUUCUGUUACGAUCGUAAUAUAAGUUCUUUGGAAUAGGACAUCAUAGAGGGUGAGAAUCCCGUAUGAUUGACCAUUAUUUGUCAGCUUUGUGAUACACUUUCAAAGAGUCGGGUUGUUUGGGAAUGCAGCCCAAAACGGGAGGUAAAUUUCUUCUAAAGCUAAAUAUUGGCGAGAGACCGAUAGCGAACAAGUACCGUGAGGGAAAGAUGAAAAGAACUUUGAAAAGAGAGUUAAAUAGUAGCGUGAAAUUGUCAAAAGGGAAGCGUUUAACACCAGUGUUGUUUUCUGAAAAUCAACCUCUGUUAGGCUUUAUGCAUGUUUGUUUAGACCUAAUCAGCUAUCUUGCAUGUUCUAUUGGUUGCAGUGGUGCACUUUUCAGUUUACAGGUCAACAUCAGUUUUUUUUACCGUAAAAAAGUUAAAGAAAGGUAGCUCAUGGCUCCGGUCGUGAGUGUUAUAGUCUUUUUCCUAUGCGGUAGGAGAGACUGAGGUCUGCAGUGUAGGCUAUUUGGCUAGAUACUCAGGUGCUAUGUGAUACCAUUUCAUAAACAACUUGUUGAUUAUGUUUUGUCUAUUGCAUACUCGCUCGUACUAUCAUACCUACGCUUAGGAUGUUGAGUAGCGACAUACGCAC
This 776-nucleotide ribosomal RNA is filed under the name uncultured Neocallimastigales. RNAcentral describes it as "partial large subunit ribosomal RNA". The stretch from base 4 to 666 matches the Rfam family "Eukaryotic large subunit ribosomal RNA", at positions 24 to 664 of the family's 3401-position model. Lineage: Eukaryota; Fungi; Neocallimastigomycota; Neocallimastigomycetes; Neocallimastigales. The record is from RNAcentral.